This 270-nucleotide unclassified non-coding RNA is filed under the name Dactylella heptameres. RNAcentral describes it as "partial internal transcribed spacer region". The stretch from base 1 to 46 matches the Rfam family "Eukaryotic small subunit ribosomal RNA", at positions 1786 to 1831 of the family's 1831-position model. The record is from RNAcentral. Lineage: Eukaryota; Fungi; Ascomycota; Orbiliomycetes; Orbiliales; Orbiliaceae.
AAGUCGUAACAAGGUUUCCGUAGGUGAACCUGCGGAAGGAUCAUUAAACAACUAAUAGUCUUUUUACAAAACUAUAUCAACCCUUUGUGAACCAAAAAACCUUUUCGCUUCGGUAGCAGGCUUGGUUGCGUGCGGUUUGAAAAAACCAAGCGCUCUCAAGCUGUCAGCCUGCCGGCAGCACCAAACAUAAACCUGUUUUAAAACUAUUGUCUGAACAGAAUCAUUUUCGAAUGAAAAUUAAAACUUUCAACAACGGAUCUCUUGGUUCUC